This 1034-nucleotide long non-coding RNA is filed under the name Homo sapiens (human). RNAcentral describes it as "HSALNT0235290". Lineage: Eukaryota; Metazoa; Chordata; Mammalia; Primates; Hominidae. The record is from RNAcentral.
CCUGUGGUCACCAGCAGGCGGGCAGCCUUUCUAAACUGCAUGGCCACGGCCCCUCUCCCCACACCCCUGCAGCAAGAGUCCCCCACAAUGACCUUGGAGACGCAGAAACAAACCCACCCAGUGGCCUCCCAGGUCUGGGACCCAGCUCAAGGCCUCAGCUGAGAGAGGACAGAGCUGCCUGCAGCCCCCAAGUAAAAGGAACUUGAGAAACAGAAAUCAACAGCACAGGAGGGAGAUGUGAGCCAGAAAAGUCGUUAGAACAGCGAGGUGGAGGAGGAAGAGCCACCUCACCCAGGCACUGAAAUUCCUCCCAAGAGGCAGAGGUGGCGAGCAGGCCGCAGAGGGGAGGGCGCGGGGGUAGGGGCCACCCCUGCGUGAUAACUGCAGACUCAGGAUCAACAUCGGAGAAGCCGGGUGAGAAACCAGCACUAACCUGCAGAGGCAGAAACCAGAUAUCACAUCAGUCUCUAAGUGGAACGGGCUUGAAAGCCAGAUAAGGAAUCCCAGGGCCCCUGGGUUCCACACGGAGGCCAAGGCCAAGCUGAACAGGUCCUUCCCUUCCCUGUCUUCAGCCAAGGGGCCAUGGGCAGAUGGGGCAGGGCUCUGGGGCAGAGAACAUUCCUUAAACUGCUAUAAAGACAAACCGAGAACACGCUAGAGAAGUCCUCCCCUGCUGGCAAAACCACCGUAAGCAGAGUGCAAGCCCCCAAAACUCUCAACAGUUAUAAGCAGCCCAUUUGGGGUCAGUGUGGUAAAUUCGACAAAUCUGACCAGCCAGGUGGUCACUGACAUGGAGCCGCCCAGGUGUGUGGGCGCAUGGGGGCUUCCUAACUUGUGCACUCCUGGUCUCAUGCCCACAUCCCUAGAACUGCAGUCAGCAGCCAUCGUGUGCCUGAGUGCCCAGGGACUGUGUGCGUGGGUUUUCUUUGCAGCCUGGCACUCCCACGCACCUGCACGCACAUCUGUACACACACGUUUCCUCUUCCACGGCCUCCCGGGUCCACACGGUCACCCCAGUAUGUCAUGGAUGCUAG